GAGGUAGCCAACACUGUUUAUAUAUAUAUAUAUAUAUUAAUUGGGGUAGCCCCCAAAAUAUUGGGACAUAUAAAAAAAGACAACUCUGUUUCGCAGAGUAGCUGUUGACAUUAUAGUUGCACAGGAACGCUGUUGACUCAAGAGAACCUCUGGCAAAUCGCACAUCCCUGUGGCGGUGACUUUGCAUGCGGAUGUCAUCCAUAUCAACUUUCGAUGCCAAUUUCUGUGCCUACCAUGGUGACCACGGGUAAUGGGAAAUCAGGGUUCCAUUCCAUACAGGGACCCUGAGAAAUGGCUACCACAUGCAAGGAAGGCAGCAGGCGCGCAAAUUACCCACUCCCGACGCGGGAAAGUAG
Molecule: ribosomal RNA, 356 nt
Filed under: Pelobates cultripes (western spadefoot toad)
Lineage: Eukaryota; Metazoa; Chordata; Amphibia; Anura; Pelobatidae
Description: SSU_rRNA_microsporidia
Rfam family: Eukaryotic small subunit ribosomal RNA
Source: RNAcentral